GACGAACGCUGACGGUGUGCUUUAGACAUGCAAGUCGAACGAGAAAGCCCUUCGGGUUAGUAAAGUGGCGAACGGGUGAGUAACACGUGGGCAAUCUGCCCCUCGCAGGGGGACAACCGGAGGAAACUCCGGCUAAUACCCCGUAAGUUCAAAGGGAGGCAUCUCUCUUCGAAGAAAGGUAGCUUCGGCCAUCCGGCGAGGGAUGAGCCCGCGGUGCAUUAGCUAGUUGGUGGGGUAACGGCCUACCAAGGCGACGAUGCAUAGCUGGUCUGAGAGGAUGAUCAGCCACACUGGGACUGAGACACGGCCCAGACUCCUACGGGAGGCAGCAGUCGGGAAUCUUGCGCAAUGGGCGAAAGCCUGACGCAGCAACACCGUGUGUGUGAGGAAGGCCCUCGGGU
This 401-nucleotide ribosomal RNA is filed under the name uncultured bacterium. RNAcentral describes it as "bacterial SSU rRNA". It matches the Rfam family "Bacterial small subunit ribosomal RNA", at positions 28 to 423 of the family's 1533-position model. The record is from RNAcentral.